RNAcentral lists this ribosomal RNA (468 nucleotides) under uncultured bacterium. RNAcentral describes it as "partial 16S ribosomal RNA". It matches the Rfam family "Bacterial small subunit ribosomal RNA", at positions 28 to 507 of the family's 1533-position model. The record is from RNAcentral.
GACGAACGCUGGCGGCGUGCUUAACACAUGCAAGUCGAACGGAAAGGCCCUGCUUUUGUGGGGUGCUCGAGUGGCGAACGGGUGAGUAACACGUGAGUAACCUGCCCUUGACUUUGGGAUAACUUCAGGAAACUGGGGCUAAUACCGGAUAGGAGCUCCUGCUGCAUGGUGGGGGUUGGAAAGUUUCGGCGGUUGGGGAUGGACCCGCGGCUCAUCAGCUUGUUGGUGGGGUAGUGGCUUACCAAGGCUUUGACGGGUAGCCGGCCUGAGAGGGUGACCGGCCACAUUGGGACUGAGAUACGGCCCAGACUCCUACGGGAGGCAGCAGUGGGGAAUAUUGCACAAUGGGCGGAAGCCUGAUGCAGCAACGCCGCGUGCGGGAUGACGGCCUUCGGGUUGUAAACCGCUUUCGCCUGUGACGAAGCGUGAGUGACGGUAAUGGGUAAAGAAGCACCGGCUAACUACGUG